GUGAGGAAUAUUGGACAAUGGAUGGAAAUCUGAUCCAGCCAUGCCGCGUGCAGGAAGACGGCCCUAUGGGUUGUAAACUGCUUUUAUACGGGAGCAAUAAGGUCUAUGCAUAGAUUGAUGAGAGUACCGUAUGAAUAAGCAUCGGCUAACUCCGUGCCAGCAGCCGCGGUAAUACGGAGGAUGCGAGCGUUAUCCGGAUUUAUUGGGUUUAAAGGGUGCGUAGGCGGCUUUGUAAGUCAGCGGUGAAAUUUUGCAGCUUAACUGUAAAAGCGCCGUUGAUACUGUGAAGCUAGGAUUUGGUUGCUGUGGGCGGAAUGUGUGGUGUAGCGGUGAAAUGCAUAGAGAUCACACAGAAUAUCGAUUGCGAAGGCAGCACACUAAGGCAAUAUUGACGCUGAGGCACGAAAGUGUGGGGAUCAAACAGGAUUAGAUACCCGGGUAGUCC
RNAcentral lists this ribosomal RNA (445 nucleotides) under uncultured bacterium. Its description in RNAcentral is "partial 16S ribosomal RNA". It matches the Rfam family "Bacterial small subunit ribosomal RNA", at positions 354 to 796 of the family's 1533-position model. The record is from RNAcentral.